Long non-coding RNA from Dendronephthya gigantea, 233 nucleotides. RefSeq lists it as uncharacterized. The transcript has 3 exons. The record is from RefSeq and is a predicted model, not a curated record. NCBI's taxonomy places the organism in Eukaryota, Metazoa, Cnidaria, Anthozoa, Malacalcyonacea, Nephtheidae.
GAUAGGGCAGUAUCUGAAGUUGCUAGAAACUGACCCUAAUUGUCAACAGGAUGUUGAAAAUUCAGAUGAUGAAAUAUCAGAUGUUGCCCUGGUAGUAGCUGCCCUGCUGUUGCAGAAGUCUGGUAAAAACGACCUAAGCAGCAUCAUCCAGUUCAUCCCAGAAGGUUCGAAUUUUGAAAAGGCUGCCAGUGAAACGCAAGAGAUGCAUCCAAAGAUAUUGGUCAAAAAGAGCA